GGGCCCAUAGCUCAACGGUUAGAGCAGUCGGCUCAUAACUGAUUGGUUGGGGGUUCGAAUCCCUCUGGGCCCACCA
RNAcentral lists this transfer RNA (76 nucleotides) under Capsulimonadaceae bacterium. RNAcentral describes it as "tRNA-Ile". It matches the Rfam family "tRNA". Rfam says of the family: Transfer RNA (tRNA) molecules are approximately 80 nucleotides in length. The record is from RNAcentral. Lineage: Bacteria; Bacillati; Armatimonadota; Armatimonadia; Capsulimonadales; Capsulimonadaceae.